GAUGAACGCUAGCGGGAGGCUUAAUACAUGCAAGUCGAGCGGCAGCGCGUCCGACCACCCUCGGGUGGUCGGAUGGCGGCGAGCGGCGGACGGGUGAGGAAUGCAUCGGAAUCUGCCUCGUUGUGGGGGAUAACGUAGGGAAACUUACGCUAAUACCGCAUACGACCUACGGGUGAAAGUGGGGGACCUUCGGGCCUCACGCGAUGAGAUGAGCCGAUGCCGGAUUAGCUAGUUGGCGGGGUAAAGGCCCACCAAGGCGACGAUCCGUAGCUGGUCUGAGAGGAUGAUCAGCCACACUGGAACUGAGACACGGUCCAGACUCCUACGGGAGGCAGCAGUGGGGAAUAUUGGACAAUGGGCGCAAGCCUGAUCCAGCAAUGCCGCGUGUGUGAAG
This 394-nucleotide ribosomal RNA is filed under the name uncultured bacterium. Its description in RNAcentral is "bacterial SSU rRNA". It matches the Rfam family "Bacterial small subunit ribosomal RNA", at positions 28 to 410 of the family's 1533-position model. The record is from RNAcentral.